This 355-nucleotide long non-coding RNA is filed under the name Mustela putorius furo (domestic ferret). RNAcentral's name for it is "lncRNA (ENSMPUG00000026420.1)". Lineage: Eukaryota; Metazoa; Chordata; Mammalia; Carnivora; Mustelidae. The record is from RNAcentral.
GAUUGUUCCAUGUAUCUAGUCUUUAAAAACAUGAGUUUUAAUGGCCAUGAAGUAUUUCUUCAUUUCCUGAUCUGUCGCCCAAUGACUUCCAGCGUCCCGUGAUCUCAGGCUACACCGUGACAGACGAAGCACAAUCCAGGUGGCAGUGAUGCCGUCCAUUAGCAUUUUAGAGAAAUAUGCCGGCAUCUCUGUGGUGCGGCGGGACAUCAGCCAGCUGGAAUGUUCUGGGUUGCAGACGCCGAGCCCAAUCCAGGUGCCUGGGAAGCAGGGAAGAAAACUCCAACUCAGAGAAGUUAGUUGACUUUUCCAAGGCAACACAGCGGCUGAGGGACGUUGGUGGGAUUUGAAUAUCCGC